CAACACCAGGGUGUGAUGGUGGGCAUGGGCCAGAAGGACUCCUAUGAGGGCGAUGAGGCCCAGAGCAAGCGGGGCAUCCUGACCCUCAAGUAGCCCAUCGAGCGCAGCCUUGUCACCAACUGGGACGACAUGGAGAAGUUCUGGCACCACAUCUUCUACAACGAGCUGAGCGUGGCCCCCGAGGAGCACGCCAUGCUGCUGACCGAGGCCCCCCCUGAAUCCCAAGGCCAAUCACGAGAAGAUGACCCAGAUCAUGUUCGAGACCUUCAACACCCCAGCCAUGUACGUGGCCAUCCAGGCUGUGCUGUCCCUGUAUGCCUCUGGCCGCACCACUGGUAUUGUCAUGGACUCUGGGGACGGGGUCACCCACACUGCCCAUCUACGAGGGGUACGCCCUGCCCCACGCCAUCCUGUGUCUGAACCUGGCUGGCCGGGACCUGAUGGACUACCUCACAAAGAUCCUCACGGAGCGUGGCUACAGCUUCACCACCACCGCCGAGCGGGAAAUCGUGCGUGACAUCAAGGAGAAGCUGUGCUACGUCGCCCUGGACUUCAAGCAGGAGAUGGCCACAGCUGCGUCCUCCUCAUCCCUGGAGAAGAGCUAUGUGCUGCUCGACUGGCAGGUGAUCACCAUUGGCAACGAGCGGUUCCACUGCCCAGAGGCUCUCUUCCAGCCUUCUUUCCUGGGUAUAGAGUCCUGUGGCAUCCACGAGACCACCUUCAACUCUAUCAUGAAGUGUGACAUGGACAUCCGGAAGGACCUCUACACCAACACGGUGCUGUCUGGCAGGACCACCACGUACCCUGGCAUCUCCAACAGGUUGCAGAAGGAGAUCACAGCUCUGGUGCCCAGCACGAUGAAGAUCAAGAUCAUCGCUCCUCCUGAACGCAAGUACUCGGUGUGGAUCGGGGGCUCCAUCCUGGCCUCGCUGUCCACCUUCCAGCAGAUGUGGAUCAGCAAGCAGGAGUAUGACAAGUCAGGCCCCUCUAUUGUGUACCACAAAGGCUCCUGGUAUUCCAUUAUACACUCUCUUCAUUAUGCAUUAUCUUCAUGUGCACAUUUUCAUUGAGAAAACUUCUAGGGAUUAGUUCUUUUUGUAACUAUGAGUUCAUUAUCCAUCUCCCUUGCUAGACUGAGGCUCCAAGGUGCCCUCACAUCUGUAUUUCACCCAACAAUGUGAAUAAGUGACUCAUUAAUGACAUGUCAUUCUCAAUUCUUUAGCGUGUGACAUGGUUAGUUCCGAUUAGCUCAUUUCUAAAUUUGUGGCUUUCGGCAUGACAAAAGGGAAGUACAAAGGUACAUGAAACUGCUAAGUUAAAUUGUAGGACUUUGGGUGAUUGACCUUGAGAAGGAGUGGGUUUUGAAAGCCAUUCCAUUCUCUGUCCCUUUUAGAACAGAAGCUUGAAUCUGUAUACACCAUUUUUGCCAAGAGAGUUAAAUGGAUGGCUGUGGAGGGAGUGCAUUUACAUGGCUUUUCCAGUAACAUGAAGCUUUAAGCCCAUGGAACUGUCCCCAAACAAAAAUUUGGUCUUGGCCACCUAGCUUCUCCCACCCUGGUGAGUCAGGUGGAAGAGUGGGGUAAGUGGUCCUAGAGGGUGUUGUCCUAAGGCUCGCUUUCUCCUGUAAGGGGCACCACUGCCUCAGUUUCCAUGGCCAAAUAAAGGACAUUCUGCAUCAAAACUUGUCUUGAAACUUCACAAUGCAAAUGAGCACAUUAGUGAGGCUGGGAGGUCUGGCAGGGAGUAAAAAAAAAUCUAUUUCAUUUUGCUCAGUUCCUAAGUUUAUUUGGCCAUGUUUAGUCAUAGCAUGCUGUCUUGGAUUAGACUGCACCAGAAGCAGACCCUGAGAUAAGGAUUUAAGUGAAAGAAGGUUUUUUGGGAGGUGAAUUUAUAAAAAGCAUCGGAAGCAGGGAAAGGAAGUGAGAUUGGAAAGGGAAGGAGGCCAGUCCAUGGGGCAUAAAUAAGCAAAUUUACCUUUGGAGGCAACUGGAACUCAGCCUUGCUGGGGACCCAUGGGGGGAGACACCCACCAUAGAGGUGACCUGUCUCAGGAGUAAGGAAGCUAGAUUUUAUUCACCAGCUCUCAUCAGUCAGACACUGAGGGCUGCUUUGGGGGCCACUAGCUCCCUUGUACUUUGGGCCUGCUUUGCAUGGUAUCUAGAGAAUGAUGGCAGGCAAGGACUGGCAGGUGCUCACAACAGACCACUGGUUGUCAUGCACAGGAACUGAGUGCCAAGGGGAGAUGGGUGGGAGCAUGUCUGCUGCCCCCGUGUCCCUCUUUACCUUUUCCUUUUUCACACAGGGCACCCAUUCAUACCUGGUGGAAGUAGUACUUGAGGACCAAAAUUUGGAAAACAAAAUUCCAAAAUUUGGCAUUCAAGCAGUUCAGUGAGUUCCCAGAAGCAAUCCUUUAGCUGAACACACGGAGCCAAUGCUAUGCUAUAGUUUGUAAAACUCCAAAGGGAAUUCCUGUAAAUGCCACCAAAUACCAAACAUAUAAAUCUCAAGGCUCAGCAGAAAGAGCCUUGGGAGAUCAGAACUUAUGGGAUGCUACAUCAAAAAGCCAUCUAAGGAUCCAAACUUAGAAUCAGGUUCUAACUCAGGUUGUCUGUGAAAGAGAAAAGUUCUCUUUCCCACAGCCAAGGGCACAGGGGAUGCCAUACUAACAGUGUCCUGUGUAUGGUGAUGGCAGGCUACAUCCGCAACAAGCUAGAGAUCAUCAUAUGGAGGUACAGACAAAGACAUAGAGCUCUGAGGACCCCACUUCUAUGGAAUGUCUUACAUUCUAGCAAAGUCAGACAAUACAAUACCAGCAAACCAAAAGAGAAAAUGUUCAUAGAUGGUAGUAAAGGUUAUGAAGUCAUUUAAAAGGAUAAUGGGAGAAAGAGUAGCUGGCAGAGAAUUACCUAAGGCUGAGUGAUCUGAAAUGGCAUCUUUGAGGAGGUAAAAUAUGACCUGACACCUCCCUGCUUCCAUAGGGGGAGAAAGAAGGGGAUUUCAGGAGGACAGAACAGUAAGUUCAAAGGUCCUGAGAUGGGAAUAUGAUUGGAGUAUUUAAGGACAGGGGCCUGGAGUACCCUGAAUGAAAGGUAGAGUGCUAACAGUAAGGUUAACAAGGAAGGCUAUAGCUGGAGCACGCUGGGUGGAAAUUUGGUCAAUUUUUCCAUCCAUUUCAUUGUUCUUAAGGGGAAAAAAAAACCCAAAGCAUCAGAGAACAUUUGCUGAAUACCAAAUGAUGCUCCCAUGUUCUAGAUUUCUGAGAAACCUAAGGAAAUUCAUCAAAUUCUGUCUCUAGGCAGCAUCCUAAUGGUCUCAUCUCAUUCUUCAGCAUAUCCCACCAAGAUCUCAAAUGGCUUCACAGAUUAAAACCAGCCCCUAAAAGCUGAAUGCUGACCUACUCUUCAAAGAUCUUAUGUCCCAGUCCCAGAAAGCAAUAAUUGAACAGAAACAGGGCACAGUGUUGCUAGGACCCACUUCUUGCUGGAAGGAAUUCUUCUUGGUCUACACCAUCUGAUUUCACUGAUGGCUUCAACCCAGCCCCUUGAGGCAUACCCCAGGGUGGUCCCCUUCUGGACUGCCAUUCACUGAUUCUGUAGGAAGGAUCCCCAGUGGCACAGCCACAAGGCUCCCUCAGGUUGUCCCUUGAGGAUGAUAUUGGGGAAUCUGUCUCAGGAAUGCACUUAGCCUUGUAAGACAAGAAGAAGGCUGGUUCUUCACUCUCUGGCAAAGCCAGAGUCAGGAGAUGAGGGGAAAGAAGAGGCCAGUUCUUGGCCCUUGGGGACAGAGACAUCACAACAGGGGGCCCCGUCAUCCUGCAGGAGCCUGGACAAACCUCGAUUUUAUUUCACAGCCAGUUACUGGGCAGCGGAUGUACGCGGACGGAGCAGGGCGCUCCUACAGAAGUGAACAGAGCACGGGCCCUGCCCUCAAGGGGUUAUCCUAUAAUAGAAAGAAACACGGACUACUCCUGGUCAUUCCAGGCAGAAUGAAAUCAGCGUCAAAAGGGACAUUCAAACAGAGAACUUCAGGAGAGUAAGGGGAAGAGAAAUUAAUAAGCUCACUGCCUUUCUUUGGCUUGAUGGCAGUUAACUGGGCUAACUAGGUACACAUAGGAUUUUAUGGUUCCCUUGUCACACUCGUGAGUCAGGCUUUUUUAGCUGAGGAAAAGGCAACAGUGUGUCAGGCAACAGAGCACUAUUUUCAAGAGAUGCGGGGAAGUGAGAAGGACAGGAAAACAACUCAUGAAAAGCUAGAACAAUGUCCCCUGUUCCGCAAAGUGACAGCAACUCUGAGGGUUAGGUACUGAGAUAUCUUCUCAUAAGAGGGUUCUCUCUCCCACCCUCACUACCUUCACCUUGUGCUUCUGCUGUUCUCUCUGCAUCUGGGUCCUUCUUUCAAGAUCUUGUUUUUAACAGACCCCUAGCCAGACAAGUCUGUUGGGUGGAAAGAUCAACUCUUACACUUAACCUUGGGCAGGUUGCUUCACCUCUUUGUGCCUUGAUUUCCUAUCUGUGACAGGUGGAUAUUAAUAGUACCUACCUUAAAUGGAUUUUGUGAGGAUUAAAUUAGUUAACACACAGAGACAGAAUGAUGCUACUUCUACCAUUAGGCUAGGGUUCCGUAACUGUGUCCAGGGUAGCAGGCUCUCGUGGACAAAAUGGCUAUAUACCAGUUCCGUUUACUUGGAAGGCAGCUAGGGUUAUUAGAAGUGCAAGGUCUCCUGGAUGCUUAGAAGCUUAGAUUCCUUUCUUCUACAUCACAGCACAUUUUGAAAUAAAUUUUAAAACUUAAAUUCCUAUCAUAAAAUAAUACAGGUUCAUUAAAAACUAUUUAGAAAAAAAUAGUCUAACAAAUAGCAGAUGAAAAUCACAGAGUAGAGGACAUAUGAUUUAAGGGGACUGACCUUGCUACAGGCGUGGGCCAGUGGACUGGGCAGACUCUCCCCUGGGACUUCUGCUAGAGCUGCUAAAAGAUACUCUUCUCUUCUGGGACCUGUAAGACAUAGGAUUAAUAUGUUUGAAGAUUCUGAUGGUGAAGAAUAGAGAAGAAAGCAGAUUCCAGCUUCCUGGAAGAAGAGAAAGAAAGGUGGGAAACGCAAGCUCUCCAAUGACAGUGUGGGGACCUGGAUCCAACACCUAUUUUUUGGCCAAAAAGUUGUAUGAGCCAAUAUGUUUCUUCCAUAGAUUUUUUCACUUCAACUAGUUUCGGCUGAGAUUCUGUUACUUGUAAAUGAAAUAAUUUUGACCAACCAUCCAGAAAUAACCACAUUUGCAUGUGUGUAUACUUCCUUCCAGUCUUUCUUUCUCUUUCAAGCUCUCUGCAUAGUUGUUUUUUUGUUUUGUUUUGUUUUGUUUUGUUUUGUUUAAUGAGAGAGGAUCUUAAUCUACAAAUUUUAAUACUUUUUUUCUUUCCUGAUCCUGUUACAAAGUUUAGUGCCUCUGGUUAGCAUCUAAGUCUUUUUGAGAGAGGACAGAAGAAUUUAUGCUGUCCCCCACCCCCUCCCCUGUCACCCUUCUGCUCCCUGAAAGAUAUUUCAGAGGGCAAGGGGCUAUCCCAUGAUACCCAUGGGUUGGCAGUUCCUUCCACGCUCAGUUCUAUAGUGCCGGGCUGGAGACCAUCAGCUUUGAUAGAGACUUUGGCCUUAGGUCAGCUUGGACUCCUGCCUGGUCUUUCAAAGCACUUUCCUUUUAAAGCCUCCAAACCCAGCAUUUUCCAUAAACAUCUUGCUGCCUUUUUUUUUUUUAAGUGGAGAGAAAUUCAAGGGUGAACAUACUGUAUAUUAAUGGUGGUCUAGGGACAAGCAACAUGGACCAGAGUUUCAGGGAUCCAAAAAAAGAUGCACAGAGUGCAUUGGACUGCCAAACAACCAUUUGGAGCAUAACUGAAAAUUGAAAAUGCUGUAAUGACAUGGUCAGAAUUAUACCUGCAAUUCCUAAAGAAAAUCUGAGGUGAAGUAGCCAUUGCUUUCUAAUUAGCAUGAUCUGAUAAUGCAGGCUACAGAACAUUUGCUAGUAAUUAUGGUGCUUGCUUGCUCUGCUUAUAGCUCAAAAAUAACAGCAAAGUUUGUUUUGCUAAUCUCGCCUCUGGAUUUGUGAAUUAUUUGCUUUCAUUAUCUGAAAGAUAAACUGGAAAGAAAAAUCCAACGCAGGGGGAAUUUUUAUAAGACAGAACACUCGAGUUGUCUUUGGAUGUGGACGCCACACUUAAUUUAAUAAAAACCAAAGCAGACCAUGUUGGAAGCUCUAACGGAGGAAUGUGUUUAUAAUGAGGGAAGUGCCACAGGUCAGAAAACAAACAUGGGCUUCGAAACUGUGGAUCAUGAUCAUACCCACUAUCUCUUAUUCUGCUGGGUGAUUCUGAGCAAGUCAUAUCACCUUCCCGGGUUCUGACUGCCCUGUUCUGCCCAGAGUAGCAAUCAUACCUGCUCUGCCCAUCUCAGAGGCUGUGAAGAAAACAAGAGAUAGUAUGCUUUAGAUGAUUAAGAUUUCUUUUAUAAACACAAAACUAUAACACUAUUAUUAAUAUUCAGAUAAUGUUCUCUAGAAUUUACAGAGUGCUCACGCAUCGAACAGAUGGUGCUGUUAUAAUUCCUAGCCAUCUUUCCCACUCUGUAGAUCCCAGAUGUCAGCCACUUGACUAGAAAGAGAUUCCGUUUUAGGGGCACCUGGGGUGGCUCAGUUGGUUAAGCAUCUGCCUUCAGCUCAGGGCACGAUCCUGGAGUCCUGGGAUCGAGUCCCACAUCGGGCUCCCUGCUCGGCGGGGAGUUUGCUUCUCCCUCUGACCCUCCCCCCUCUCAUGCUCUGUCAUUCUCUCUCUCUCUCAAAUAAAUAAAUAAAAUCUUUUAAAAAAAGAGAUUCUGUUUUAGAGUCAGGGAGUCAGGGAUUUUCACCUCAGUACUGGCUGUGUGACCUUAGGCAAGUUAGUGACCUCUUUGGUCUUGGAUACAUCCUGGAUGCAAUGGGGAUAAAGAAACACCUGCCACCUGCCUAGCUGCCUGAAACCUUUCUGCUAGAUAGCAGGUACACAUAUGUAUUUACAGUAAGCAGUCACACUCAAGUAUGAAGUUCAAAUAGGCUGAUAGACGAGUACAGCAAUUAUAAUAACAUCCAUAAUAGCUGCUAUUUUUUUAACCACUUUCUCUGCCUUGGGCACCAUUCUAAAACCUUUACAGGCAUGAACUAAGGGACGCUCAUUGCAGUUCUGUGAGGAAAAUGCUGUCAUUCUCCCUUUAUGGAUGAGCAAACUGAGGCAUGCAGGGAUGAAAUAUUUUAGCCAAGUCCAUCCAGCUAAUAAGUGGCCCCGCUGGGAUACGGUGCAGGAAGUCUGGCUCCAGAGCCUGCCCUGGAAACAUUUAUUCUGCAUUGUCUCUCUAACUGCUAACAUUUAUUGAGGGCUUACUAUGUGAGCUUUGCUCUACCAUUCUUCUAAGUAGUUUAUAAUAAUUAACUCAAUAUUCUCAGCAAACCUUGAUUAGAGUUAUUGUUUAGUUUUAAAAAAUGAUGCCCAGUGAAGAUUGUCAGAUAAAUGAUAAAUAAUUUUUAUUAUAAGUAUGUCCCAUGCAAUAUUUAGCAUAUGCUUAUACUAAGAAAGUACUGUUUACCUGAAAUUAAAAUUAAAAUUUAACUGGGCAUUCUGUAUUUCAUCUGACAACCCUACCCUGAGAGGAGGUAGGAGCUAAUCUAGUUCCUUGUACUGAGUGGACUUUGGAAAAUAGUAAUUUCUACCAUUAUUGGUAUUGUCAGGUUAUUUAUUCUGACAUCUGUUUUCAAUUGUUUCUCUAGCCAACGAAAAUCAGAAGCUAUAUGCAUAAAGAAAAUAAUUAUGAUAUAUUAAUAAAAUAAAUUAAUAGUGCCUCUGUAACUCUUUCACUGAUACGGUCUAAAUGGAGCCUCAUGAUGAUCCUAUAAAUAUUGUGCCUAUUUAAUAAUGAGAAAACUGAAUCUUGGAGCCAUUAAAUAAUUUGCCCAAGGGCACAGAAAUAAAAAAAGCCUAAAUUAGAAGGGGCACCUGGGUGGCUCAGUCAGUUAAGCGUCCAACUCUUAGUUUUGACUCAGGUCAUGAUCUCAGGGUCGUGGGAUCGAGCCCCAUGUCAGGGUCCAUGCUGAGCGUGGAACCUGCUUAAGAUUCUCUCCUUCUCCCUCUCCCUCUGUCCCUCCCCCUGCCCAGUUCCUGAAUGUGUCUGCUCUCUCUCUCUAAAAAAAAAAAAAAAAAAGCUAACUAGAACAUCACAUUGUGGUCUCUAGGAUAUGAGAGCCAUGUUAUUACAUAUCAGGUUUUAAAAUGAAGAAAAUUGGAGUCUGGAUUCUAGCCCCAAUUUCCUUUAAUGGCAGGACAUAUCUGAAAACUCAAAGCACAGUCAUCUCUAUAAAACCAGUCAGCCCCAAAAGAAAAGGCAGAGAGAAAAAUCUCUUCAAAAUCACUAUUAAGUCAUUGAUAGGGAUUUAAAUGGUGCAACAAGAUCAUCUCACAUACUUUUUUCUUGCCCCUAGUUACUACUUUUUCCUUGCCAUGGUGCCACAACUCUCAGUGAUAUGUCUGGAUAGUUUCCAUUUAUUGAGAAGUUUUAGUGUUCCAGAUACCUUGAUAAGAACUUCACUAUCCCCUCAAAAACCAAGAGGUAAAAUCCUCAUUGCAUAUAUGGGAACACUGAGGCUCUGCAAAUUGUCAAGGUUUAGCUUCUGGCUAAAAAGUGACAGAGCUGAGCCUGCACCCCAAUCUUAUAUUACUCCACAACCUAUUCUUCUGACAGAUGCAUGACACACGUGCUACCAUGAUCGGUCUGAUGCCCACUGCAGACAUGACUAGUCAAUCAUGGUGUUCUUUCCCUUUGAGCCCGGAAAGGAGCCCAGAAUCCUUCUAUAAACAUUAUUCUGGGCAGCCACUACUGGUCAAUAGCAGCAGACAUUCAAUGUCAUUACCUACUAGCUACCCCUGCGAUACCUCCUCCUGAUGAACACCUCCAUCGUAAUGGCUACAGUGAAAAAAUAGUCAACUCUGCAGGCUGCGUGAUGAAUGCUACUUUAAGGAGACUGUUUGGUAAGUCCCAGAAAUGGAAUUCAUCUGAGAUGUGAUGGUUCAGAGGCUGCAGUCCAACUGCUACUUAUAAAGAGAGAGAGAGGAUACCAUGUGAAGAGCCCGGGGCUCUCUGCCACCAAGCCAGUUGUGAAGCCACCAUUUCCAAAGUCUUGAUGCUGCUGUGAUGGUCUGUUGCUUUCCACAGGAGGAAAACUGCACUCUACUCCAGCCAAUCAGGAGGCUCAACAUCCCGCCUCCUCUCUGAGGAGUUAGGUUUCAUUCUCAGACAGCAUGCUCUCACAGGCUAAUGACUGGUUGGAAGCUGAGAGUGUCCUCACAUUGUGACACAGCACAGAUUUAAGAGAGCAACAGGCCAUUCCUCUGGCUUCCCUGUCUGGAAACCAAGCCCAGCUGGUUCACUCCUUUGUGCCCCCAGUUCCCCCCACUAUCCCCCCACCCCCAGCCCACAUAUAAUGAUGCUUUUCUUCUUUCCCUUUCUUGGGGGAAGGAUUUAAGAGCUGCGUGGACACACCCAAGGCAUUGUUAGUGAAAGUUCAGGAAGAGACCGUGAACCCAGUUAGGAAUGAGCAGAAUCAAAAUGAGAGUGGGAGGGAGAAAAAAGGGAACAUUAUCCUUUAACUAUGCCUAUUGCUAAGAUAAUAGAACUCGUAGGUCUCACGAUGAGGACCCCCAAAUUAUAUUUAGGCCCCAUCUUCCUCACCUCCAUCAUUGUCAAAACCAACCAAGAACAAGUUUAUCAGGGUCAAAUAUACCUUGAGAGCCAGGAAAGGCUGUUCAGAGUCCACAAAUAAAGCAGGGAUGUAAAAACUUAGAAAGGUGGUCCAAGGGUGUGAUAUAUUGCAGGGGGCACACAUGAGGGGAAAGAGAAACAAGUGAGGGUCUAGAGCAGACAUCCAGCACAGAGAGGCAACGAGUUGGAAGGGAAUUGGUACCAUGCACCAUUAUGAAGAGUGAGAGGAUUUGUAAACACUGACAUGGAGAGUAGCUAAGGGCUUAGAUUCUAAAGCCCAGCUCUGAAGAUUGAAUCCAGACUCAUCUCCUGCUAGCUGUGUGGCCUCAGACAAGUUACCUAUAAUCUCUAGGACUCAAUUUCCCCAUCUGGAAAUGAGAACAUUAAUAGCACUUGUCCCGUGGUGCCGUUCUGAGAAUUGUGUGAGAUAAUUUGUAUAGGGUGCUUAGCACAGAGACUGGCACCUAAAUAAUUCAGCACAUGGAAUUAUCUCUAUAAUCUAAAUAUGUCUACAAUAUUCAGAUUUUUAGAGGUUAUAUAAUACUAUUUAUUAAAUUAUCCCAUUUAUAGAAAACAUUUCUUUAUACAUAUAUACUUACUCACAAAAGGAGAAAAAAUAAAGCUUUGAAAGAUAUGGACCAAACCCUGUUAACCAUGGGGACACAAUGAUUUUUUUUUUCUGCUUUAUAUAUUUCUGUAUCUUUUGGCAUUUAUCUGUACUAGGAGCAUGUAUUAUUUCUAUAAGAAAAUAAAGAUACAACUAUUAAAAAUUCAAAUCAAAUGACUUCUGACCCUGGAGCUUGGAAUUUAAUGUGAGUUCUAAAAGAGACCAAGGUGGCCCCAACAUCCUUAAGGAAGAAACAGAUGUUCCCUGCUGGGGUCAGCCUUAAUGACAAGAAAGGACAACCACUUGGUAAGAGUGAAAAUGACAAGGAUGAAAGUGCUUAGUGAUGCAAAAUGGAGCAAAACGGGCAAGGUGUGAGGCCACAACACACAAAACCUUGUAGUUUUCGUACCGAGAGUAGAUAUGACCCACCUUCCACCAUUUUUAAUGAAAUAAGGUUCUUUGUAUCGUCUUCCAUGAAGGUAAAGUUUAUUCCUCUGCCAGUGGCCAUGUCUGGACUGCACAACAGGUGAAUAAAGCUUGGAAAAAUGGCAAUAUAUCUCAAAGAAAAAUUUUAGAGCCUAUUUGCCAAGUGAAGAAGGAUUUGUAUGGCCGCCUUUGAUUGAAGCACUCUGAACGUUAGAAAAUAAUUGUGAAAAUAUAAAGAGAGGCCUGCUGAUUGGGUUGAGGUUUUGGGAACUGGCAAUUAAUCCAAGAAGCUGAUUUUAAUUGGAUAGAGAGGGAAUAAAAUUUUUAUUGUAUUACUCUAGUUGCAAUGCAUUCCAAGUAUGGUUUUUUUCAACCAGUAU
Molecule: RNA transcript, 11179 nt
Organism: Mirounga angustirostris (Northern elephant seal)
Lineage: Eukaryota; Metazoa; Chordata; Mammalia; Carnivora; Phocidae
Gene name: actin, clone 302-like
Exons: 1
Source: RefSeq, a predicted model, not a curated record